ACUGUUCUCAAGGAUGGCCCAUCUGCCUCCUGGACUGUGGCUCCCAGCCUACCCCGGGGAAGAUGCCGCAUGCCAGCAGAAAAGGAACAGGAGGGCCCCGUUCUAUGCUGAACAGAGGCAGAAGAUGAAUGCAACCAGCCUCAUACUCCGCUCGCAGACUCUGGAAGUGGCGUCGGACCAAGAAACCCCGGACGCAGGCCUGGCGUGGAGAAUAAAGGAGAAAGAAAAUGCUCAUCACUGCAGAAAUGGGGCAUUUUGAGGAUUUUCCUGGAGAGGUCGUCUCAGUGACUACGAGGGGUUCUGGACACGGGAAAAGGAGAGGUGACGCUGUACGUCAGGACAGUCCCCAGGAGUUCAAGGAAGGAUGCCGGACUAGCUCCCCCUCUUGAAUUUAAGGCCCUUCCCGCCACUUCCUGGAUCCCGCAGGAGCGUAUGGUGGGAGUGGAAGGCCUGUGGGGGUCCGUGGGUCCCACCAUUCUUCAGGGUGGUGGGGGUGGUUCGGUAACUCCAGAGGCAGGCACGAGGGUAGGUGACUGAACGUAGUAGCCUUCUCUCGUUCGAAGGUCCCAAUCCGAGAUCCCGUGCUGCGACUCGUGCGCCCCGGGCCCGCUCCGCACCUGCAGCACCGACACCCUCGGAAUCAACCGUUCCCGCUCCAUCCCGGCGCCAACAGACCAGCAGCUGACCAGCGCCUGCCAGUUGCGUCACUAGUUCGCGCCGUGCGCGGCCCCGCCCCCUGCCGUCUCCAAGGCAACCAUCCUCCUCUCGCGGCUACCUGGUCGCGGGUUCCCAAUUCCCACUCCCAGAGCCGCGCUGGGAAUUCCAGCCCCACCUCCCGCCACGCCGAUCGGGACCGUCCAAACCGGUGUGUCGCGCAGGGGUGACUCCGGGUUCUUCUCCGAGUGAAGGCGCAAAGAGGGGAGGAAGCACACGGA
Long non-coding RNA from Mustela lutreola (European mink), 935 nucleotides. RefSeq lists it as uncharacterized. The record is from RefSeq and is a predicted model, not a curated record. The transcript is spliced from 2 exons. Lineage: Eukaryota; Metazoa; Chordata; Mammalia; Carnivora; Mustelidae.